Long non-coding RNA from Lynx canadensis (Canada lynx), 96 nucleotides. RefSeq lists it as uncharacterized. Lineage: Eukaryota; Metazoa; Chordata; Mammalia; Carnivora; Felidae. The record is from RefSeq and is a predicted model, not a curated record. The transcript is spliced from 3 exons.
GCUGUCAGCCUAACUGCCACUUUCUUAAACACGAUCUGACUUUUUCAAAUUUACUUUUAAGAGUGUUCUUUUGUCUUACAUAUCGAAAGAGCACAC